This 502-nucleotide ribosomal RNA is filed under the name uncultured Delftia sp. Its description in RNAcentral is "partial 16S ribosomal RNA". The record is from RNAcentral. Lineage: Bacteria; Pseudomonadati; Pseudomonadota; Betaproteobacteria; Burkholderiales; Comamonadaceae.
UACGUAGUUAGCCGGUGCUUAUUCUUACGGUACCGUCAUGGGCCUCUCGUAUUAGGAGAAGCUUUUUCGUUCCGUACAAAAGCAGUUUACAACCCGAAGGCCUUCAUCCUGCACGCGGCAUUGCUGGAUCAGGCUUUCGCCCAUUGUCCAAAAUUCCCCACUGCUGCCUCCCGUAGGAGUCUGGGCCGUGUCUCAGUCCCAGUGUGGCUGGUCGUCCUCUCAGACCAGCUACAGAUCGUCGGCUUGGUAAGCUUUUAUCCCACCAACUACCUAAUCUGCCAUCGGCCGCUCCAAUCGCGCGAGGCCCGAAGGUCCCCCGCUUUCAUCCUCAGAUCGUAUGCGGUAUUAGCUACUCUUUCGAGUAGUUAUCCCCCACGACUGGGCACGUUCCGAUGUAUUACUCACCCGUUCGCCACUCGUCAGCGUCCGAAGACCUGUUACCGUUCGACUUGCAUGUGUAAGGCAUGCCGCCAGCGUUCAAUCUGAGCCAGGAUCAAACUCU